CUGAGAGUACAUGUAUCACAAAGGGGAAGAGAGACCACGGACACGGACAACUAUAAUUAAGGCAGGGCAGGCCUCUUCACACACCUAUAGGAUCCCACCUCUGCCUACAAUAUGAUAGCAGGAUGAUGAUAGAUAUUGGUUAGGGUAAAGUGAAUCCUGCUUGUCUUUUAAACUUUAAACUUAAGCUGCCACCAACCUAAUAGGUUUUAGGAAUUUUCCAAGGUAUUUGAGGUAAACUGCUCCCACUCCUGCCAACACUGGCUGGCUCCCAAACAAUUGUUUAUUAAGAGUUUUUUUUUGUAGUAACUGGAUGUUACUAAUGUUGGAACUACAGUAGAGUCUCACUUAUCCAACACUCGCUCAUCCAACAUUCUGGAUUAUCCAACGCAGUUUUGUAGUCAAUGUGUUCAAUAUAUCGUGAGAUUUUGGUGCUAAAUUCAUAAAUACAGUAAUUACUACAUAGCAUUACUGCGUAUUGAACUACUUUUUCUGCCAAAUUUGUUGUCUAACAUGAUGUUUUGGUGUUUCAUUUGUAAAAUCAUAACCUAAUUUGAUGUUUAAUAGGCUUUUCCUUAAUGCCUCCUUAUUAUCCAACAUAUUUGCUUAUCCAACAUUCUGUCAGCCCGUUUAUGUUGGAUAAGUGAGACUCGACUGUAUCACAAAGGCUUGACGAUGGAAUGAGGCGCUGUAGAGACCUUUUGAUAGUUAAAUAGAAUAAGAUUUGUUUAUUUUAAAACAGACAACUAACUACUCCUGAGAAGUACAAAAAAGCGUGAUUUGUUACAAAAGCACUUCAAGCUUGAAUUGGUUGCUUGUUCAGGUCUCUUCACAUUGUUAUAGACAGAUCUAAACAAACCGUUCUAACUGUUAUUAACAAAACCCUCGCUCUGCUUCAGAGAAUAAUGACGAAUUUGACUAAUCUAUCUAGUUAGCCCCUGGGUUCUUAACUAACUCUACCUUAGAGUUCUUCCUGUUAACGUACCCGGCCUGGAAAGUCAACCUCUUGUAUUAACUCUCACAAGAAAUCAAACUGCUGUCUGACCUUUUCAUGUCAAUGCACAGCACUCCACUCUCUCCCUGUGAACCCAGUUUUUUAAACCCUACAUCUUUACAUACCAGUUCUCUCAGACCUCUCCACUUCCCACCUUCUCCUCUUCUUUUCCUCUGGGCCCCUCCCCACUCCUCUGGCCAAUCCUAGGAGUCUCCUCACUCCUCCCCUUUUCCAACCUUCCUCACUCAAGAUGGCUGCCUUGCUGGCAUUCUCUCCCAACAUGGAAGCCUUCCAUACUGUUAUCCAGGCUCCCUUUCCGGCCUACCAGUGAACCAUCCCAAAAGUCAUCCAUGUGGACCAUUUCAGAUUUUGGUGUAUUUUGCAUCUUGGAAUUUUGGAUAAAGGGUUGCUGUAGGUUGGAA
This is a long non-coding RNA of Anolis carolinensis (green anole), 1413 nucleotides long. RefSeq lists it as uncharacterized. The transcript has 3 exons. Lineage: Eukaryota; Metazoa; Chordata; Lepidosauria; Squamata; Anolidae. The record is from RefSeq and is a predicted model, not a curated record.